Molecule: ribosomal RNA, 501 nt
Filed under: uncultured Oscillibacter sp.
Lineage: Bacteria; Bacillati; Bacillota; Clostridia; Eubacteriales; Oscillospiraceae
Description: bacterial SSU rRNA
Rfam family: Bacterial small subunit ribosomal RNA
Source: RNAcentral
AGAGUUUGAUCCUGGCUCAGGACGAACGCUGGCGGCGUGCUUAACACAUGCAAGUCGAACGGAGCACCCCUGAAGGAGUUUUCGGACAACGGAUGGGAAUGCUUAGUGGCGGACUGGUGAGUAACGCGUGAGGAACCUGCCUUCCAGAGGGGGACAACAGUUGGAAACGACUGCUAAUACCGCAUGAUGCAUUGAAGUCGCACGGCUUUGAUGUCAAAGAUUUAUCGCUGGAAGAUGGCCUCGCGUCUGAUUAGCUAGUUGGUGAGGUAACGGCCCACCAAGGCGACGAUCAGUAGCCGGACUGAGAGGUUGGCCGGCCACAUUGAGACUGAGAUACGGCCCAGACUCCUACGGGAGGCAGCAGUGGGGAAUAUUGGGCAAUGGACGCAAGUCUGACCCAGCAACGCCGCGUGAAGGAAGAAGGCUUUCGGGUUGUAAACUUCUUUUAAGGGGGAAGAGUAGAAGACGGUACCCCUUGAAUAAGCCACGGCUAACUACGUG